Molecule: long non-coding RNA, 871 nt
Filed under: Solanum tuberosum (potato)
Lineage: Eukaryota; Viridiplantae; Streptophyta; Magnoliopsida; Solanales; Solanaceae
Description: long non-coding RNA (STUB_LNC008189)
Source: RNAcentral
GGUAGUUCGUUGAUGCAAAAUUGUACACUGCCAAUGCAAACACCAGCUACAAACAGUAGUUUAAUAGCUUUUUGGGCCAACUAGCGUUAUAUCAGUGUUUUGACAAUGGAGACUUGUGGCUUGCAGGUGAAACACCGCUCCAAAUCAGUGAAAUUUUAAAAUUUCUGAUUUAACCAACAAACACAGGGCAACAAUUAUGAACCGCCAAUGUUCCACAGUGACCUCUUCGCAAAAAAAUGGUCCAAUUUCAGUUCAACAAUUCAACAACCAUGUCCAAUGGGUACCCAAACUUCCCCAAAUAAUUCAUAUUUCAAUUUAAACAAAUCUUGACGAUUCCCCUAAGGAAUGAUGUCGCCUGAUCUAUCAUUGGGAACCAUCAAGUAACACAAGUAUGGUCUUUCAAACAAUUUUCAGACCUCUCAUUCGCAUUAUCAACCUCAUCACCAUAUAUUAAUCAUUCAAAGCAAGUCUACAAUCAUUCAUGGAUUCUACCCAAGCACAUUUCUCAACAAAAAAACUAAAGAUUCACAUCAUGACGAAGUGAUCCUUAGUAAUGACGUCACCCAAUCCAUCAUAAGGCCCUCAUGCACUACGUAAACACAAAUGGGUUGCUCAGAAUUCACCUCCAACUAAAAUUUUAAGCAAUACAUACAAGAUUUCACAUGUUUUUCUACACAUUCAAGCUCAAACAACAUAGAUCUACUCAUUUAAAUCAAAAAAGCCCUUUUUCUGAGCAACAAAAUCAAGCACAAUACUUGGAUUUUGGGAAAAACUAGUUCUAACAUGGAACGAUUUUCACAUAUUAAUAAGCAUACAUACAAGAUUUCACAUGUUUUUAUACACAUUCAAGCUCAAACAACAUAAAUCUACU